UUAUCCCCUUGAGUUCCUUUCAAACACUUCGCAUGGUUAUAUAUAUAUAUAUAUAUAUAUAUAUAUAUAUAUUAUACCAUGCAUGAAUGCUAUACCCUAGUGAAGUGUUUGGGGGAACACUAGGUGCCAU
Molecule: microRNA precursor, 130 nt
Organism: Lupinus angustifolius (narrow-leaved blue lupine)
Lineage: Eukaryota; Viridiplantae; Streptophyta; Magnoliopsida; Fabales; Fabaceae
Rfam family: mir-395 microRNA precursor family
About the family: mir-395 was identified in both Arabidopsis thaliana and Oryza sativa computationally and was later experimentally verified. mir-395 is thought to target mRNAs coding for ATP sulphurylases. The mature sequence is excised from the 3' arm of the hairpin.
Source: Rfam